Molecule: ribosomal RNA, 660 nt
Filed under: Escherichia coli
Lineage: Bacteria; Pseudomonadati; Pseudomonadota; Gammaproteobacteria; Enterobacterales; Enterobacteriaceae
Description: partial 23S ribosomal RNA
Rfam family: Bacterial large subunit ribosomal RNA
Source: RNAcentral
GAAGGUGUACUGUGAGGUAUGCUGGAGGUAUCAGAAGUGCGAAUGCUGACAUAAGUAACGAUAAAGCGGGUGAAAAGCCCGCUCGCCGGAAGACCAAGGGUUCCUGUCCAACGUUAAUCGGGGCAGGGUGAGUCGACCCCUAAGGCGAGGCCGAAAGGCGUAGUCGAUGGGAAACAGGUUAAUAUUCCUGUACUUGGUGUUACUGCGAAGGGGGGACGGAGAAGGCUAUGUUGGCCGGGCGACGGUUGUCCCGGUUUAAGCGUGUAGGCUGGUUUUCCAGGCAAAUCCGGAAAAUCAAGGCUGAGGCGUGAUGACGAGGCACUACGGUGCUGAAGCAACAAAUGCCCUGCUUCCAGGAAAAGCCUCUAAGCAUCAGGUAACAUCAAAUCGUACCCCAAACCGACACAGGUGGUCAGGUAGAGAAUACCAAGGCGCUUGAGAGAACUCGGGUGAAGGAACUAGGCAAAAUGGUGCCGUAACUUCGGGAGAAGGCACGCUGAUAUGUAGGUGAAGUCCCUCGCGGAUGGAGCUGAAAUCAGUCGAAGAUACCAGCUGGCUGCAACUGUUUAUUAAAAACACAGCACUGUGCAAACACGAAAGUGGACGUAUACGGUGUGACGCCUGCCCGGUGCCGGAAGGUUAAUUGAUGGGGUUAGCGCA